UCCGAUGUUGAAAGACGGCUUCUCCCUGUCAUUACAGGAGGGGCCCGCGGCCCAUUAUCUAUUUGGUGAGGUAACGGCUCACCAGGGCAACAAUGCGUACCCGACCUGAGAGGGUGAUCGGCCACUCGGGGACUGAGACACGGCCCAAACUCCUACGGGAGGCAGCAUUGGGGAAUCUUCCACAAUGGACAAAAGUCUGAUGGACCAACCCCCCGUGAGUGAAAAAGGUUCUCGGAUCGUAAAACUCUUUUGUGAGGAAAAAACAAGUACCGGAGUAACUGCCGGUACCUUGACGGUACCUCAUUAAAAAGCCACGGCUAACUACGUGCCAGCACCCGCGGUAAUACGUAGGUGGCAAGCUUUGUCCGGAUUCAUUGGGCGUAAAGCGCGCGCAGGCGGUCCCUUAAUUCUGAUGUGAAAGCCCACGGCUCACCCGGGGGAGGGUCAUUGGGAAACUGGGGAGACUUGAGUGCAAAAGAGGAGAGGGGAAUUCCCAUGUGUAGCGGGUGAAAUGCGUAAAGAUUUGAGAGAAACCCCAGUGGCAAAAGGCGGGCUUUUCUGGUCUGUAACUGAACGCUAAAGGCGCGAAACGCGUGGGGGAGCACACAGGAUUACAUACCCUGGUGUAUUCCCCCCCCGUAAACCAUAAUUGCUAAUUGUUUAUGGGGGUUUCCCCCCCCUUAUUGCUGCAGCUAACGCCAUUAAACAC
This 709-nucleotide ribosomal RNA is filed under the name Chryseomicrobium sp. RNAcentral's name for it is "partial 16S ribosomal RNA". It matches the Rfam family "Bacterial small subunit ribosomal RNA", at positions 193 to 867 of the family's 1533-position model. Lineage: Bacteria; Bacillati; Bacillota; Bacilli; Caryophanales; Caryophanaceae. The record is from RNAcentral.